UCGCCUGUUUAUCAAAAACAUCGCCUCUUGCUAACAAUGAAGUAUUAGAGGUCCCGCCUGCCCUGUGACAGCAGUGUUUAACGGCCGCGGUAUUUUAACCGCGCGAAGGUAGCGUAAUCACUUGUCUUUUAAAUGGAGACCUGUAUGAAUGGCAUAACGAGGGUUUAACUGUCUCCUCUCUCCGGUCAAUGAAAUUGAUCUGCCCGUGCAGAAGCGGACAUGACAACAUAAGACGAGAAGACCCUAUGGAGCUUUAGGCAAAUGAUCAAACCCAACAAGCCCCGCCUCAUAAUUAGGCUGGGAAACAAAAAUUCCUGAUCAGAAUGCCUUCGGUUGGGGCGACCAUGGAGGAAAAAAGAGCCUCCAAGUGGAACGGGAAAACCCUUCAACUAAGAAAAACACCUCUAAGUACCAGAAAAUCUGACCAAUAAUGACCCAGGACAAACCUGAUCAACGAACCCAGUUACCCUAGGGAUAACAGCGCAAUCCCCUCCCAGAGUCCAUAUCGACGAGGGGGUUUACGACCUCGAUGUUGGAUCAGGACAUCCUAAUGGUGCAGCCGCUAUUAAGGGUUCGUUUGUUCAACGAUUAAUAGUCCUACGUGAUCUGAGUUCAGACCGG
Molecule: ribosomal RNA, 621 nt
Filed under: Gymnothorax saxicola
Lineage: Eukaryota; Metazoa; Chordata; Actinopteri; Anguilliformes; Muraenidae
Description: partial 16S ribosomal RNA subunit
Rfam family: Bacterial large subunit ribosomal RNA
Source: RNAcentral